RNAcentral lists this ribosomal RNA (481 nucleotides) under uncultured bacterium. RNAcentral describes it as "bacterial SSU rRNA". It matches the Rfam family "Bacterial small subunit ribosomal RNA", at positions 28 to 526 of the family's 1533-position model. The record is from RNAcentral.
GAUGAACGCUGACAGAAUGCUUAACACAUGCAAGUCGAUUCGAUUUACCUUUGGGUAUUGAGGAUGGCGGACGGGUGAGUAACGCGUAAGGAACUUGCCUCUUGGACUGGGACAACUGUUGGAAACGACAGCUAAUACCGGAUAUUAUGAGAUUCUCGCAUGAGAAACUUAUGAAAGCUAUAUGCGCCAAGAGAGAGCCUUGCGUUCCAUUAGCUAGUUGGUGGGGUAAUGGCCCACCAAGGCGACGAUGGAUAGCCGGCCUGGGAGGGUGAACGGCCACAAGGGGACUGAGACACGGCCCUUACUCCUACGGGAGGCAGCAGUGGGGAAUAUUGGACAAUGGGCCACAAGCCUGAUCCAGCAAUUCUGUGUGCACGAUGAAGGUCUUCGGAUCGUAAAGUGCUUUCAGUUGGGAAGAAGAAAGUGACGGUACCAACAGAAGAAGCGACGGCUAAAUACGUGCCAGCCGCCGCAGUAAAAC